This 433-nucleotide ribosomal RNA is filed under the name uncultured bacterium. RNAcentral's name for it is "partial 16S ribosomal RNA". It matches the Rfam family "Bacterial small subunit ribosomal RNA", at positions 29 to 507 of the family's 1533-position model. The record is from RNAcentral.
AACGAACGCUGGCGGCAUGCCUAACACAUGCAAGUCGAACGAGAACUUCGGGUCUAGUGGCGCACGGGUGCGUAACGCGUGGGAACCUGCACUUAGGUUCGGAAUAACUCCCCGAAAGGGGUGCUAAUACCGGAUAAUGUCUUCGGACCAAAGAUUUAUCGCCUUUGGAUGGGCCAGCGUUGGAUUAGCUAGUUGGUAGGGUAAAAGCCUACCAAGGCGACGAUCCAUAGCUGGUCUGAGAGGAAGAUCAGCCACACUUGGACUGAGACACGGCCCAGACUCCUACGGGAGGCAGCAGUGGGGAAUAGUGGACAAUGGGCGAAAGCCUGAUCCAGCAAUGCCGCGUGAGUGAUGAAGGCCUUAGGGUUGUAAAGCUCUUUUACCCGGGAUGAUAAUGACAGUACCGGGAGAAUAAGCUCCGGCUAACUCCGUG